GUGGGGAAUAUUGGACAAUGGGCGAAAGCCUGAUCCAGCCAUGCCGCGUGUGUGAAGAAGGUCUUCGGAUUGUAAAGCACUUUAAGUUGGGAGGAAGGGCAGUAAGUUAAUACCUUGCUGUUUUGACGUUACCGACAGAAUAAGCACCGGCUAACUUCGUGCUAGCAGCCGCGGUAAUACGAAGGGUGCAAGCGUUAAUCGGAAUUACUGGGCGUAAAGCGCGCGUAGGUGGUUUUGUAAGUUGGAGGUGAAUUCCCCGGGCUCAACCUGGGAACUGCCUCCAAAACUGCAUGACUAGAGUACGGUAGAGGGUAGUGGAAUUUCCUGUGUAGCGGUGAAAUGCGUAGAUAUAGGAAGGAACACCAGUGGCGAAGGCGACUACCUGGACUGAUACUGACACUGAGGUGCGAAAGCGUGGGGAGCAAACAGGAUUAGAUACCCCAGUAGUCC
RNAcentral lists this ribosomal RNA (450 nucleotides) under uncultured bacterium. RNAcentral's name for it is "partial 16S ribosomal RNA". It matches the Rfam family "Bacterial small subunit ribosomal RNA", at positions 354 to 796 of the family's 1533-position model. The record is from RNAcentral.